This 419-nucleotide ribosomal RNA is filed under the name bacterium. Its description in RNAcentral is "partial 16S ribosomal RNA". It matches the Rfam family "Bacterial small subunit ribosomal RNA", at positions 355 to 776 of the family's 1533-position model. The record is from RNAcentral.
UGGGGGAUAUUGCACAAUGGGCGAAAGCCUGAUGCAGCGACGCCGCGUGGGGGAUGAAGGCCUUCGGGUUGUAAACUUCUUUUGCUCUGAACAAGGCGCACCAUGGGGUGUGUUGAGUGUAGGGGUUGAUUAGCGCCGGCUAACUACGUGCCAGCAGCCGCGGUAAUACGUAGGGCGCGAGCGUUGUCCGGAAUUAUUGGGCGUAAAGGGCUUGUAGGUGGCUGGUUGCGUCUGUCGUGAAAGCUCAUGGCUUAACUGUGGGUUUGCGGUGGGUACGGGCUGGCUUGAGUGCAGUAGGGGGGGGUGGAAUUCCUGGUGUAGCGGUGGAAUGCGCAGCUAUCAGGAGGAAUACCGGUGGCGAAGGCGGGUCUCUGGGCUGUUACUGACACUGAGGAGCGAAAGAAUGGGGAGCGAACAGG